Molecule: ribosomal RNA, 253 nt
Filed under: uncultured bacterium
Lineage: Bacteria
Description: partial 16S ribosomal RNA
Rfam family: Bacterial small subunit ribosomal RNA
Source: RNAcentral
UACGAAGGGGGCGAGCGUUGUUCGGAAUCACUGGGCGUAAAGGGCGCGUAGGCGGCCCUCUUAGUCGCGUGUGAAAGCCCCGGGCUCAACCUGGGAACGGCGCGCGAAACGGGAGGGCUGGAGUUCGGGAGAGGAGAGUGGAAUUCCCAGUGUAGAGGUGAAAUGCGCAGAUAUCAGGAGGAACACCGGUGGCGAAGGCGGGUCUCUGGGCCGAUACUGACGCUGAGGAGCGAAAGCAUGGGUAGCAAACAGG